UGGGGAAUAUUGGACAAUGGGGGGAACCCUGAUCCAGCGAUGCCGCGUGAGUGAAGAAGGCCUUCGGGUCGUAAAGCUCUUUAGGUUGGGAAGAAGGUGAUGAAGUGAUAAAUUUUAUUGCUUGACGGUACUGACUAAAUAAGCACCGGCAAACUCUGUGCCAGCAGCCGCGGUAAUACAGAGGGUGCGAGCGUUAAUCGGAGUUACUGGGCGUAAAGGGCGCGUAGGCGGUGAGAUGAGUGUGAUGUGAAAGCCCUGGGCUUAACCUAGGAAGCGCAUUGCAAACUGUCUUGCUAGAGUAUAUGAGAGGACAGCGGAAUUUCCGGUGUAGCGGUGAAAUGCGUAGAGAUCGGAAGGAACGUCGAUGGCGAAGGCAGCUGUCUGGCAUAAUACUGACGCUGAGGCGCGAAAGCGUGGGUAGCGAACAGGAUUAGAUACCCCCGUAGUCC
This 449-nucleotide ribosomal RNA is filed under the name uncultured bacterium. Its description in RNAcentral is "bacterial SSU rRNA". It matches the Rfam family "Bacterial small subunit ribosomal RNA", at positions 355 to 796 of the family's 1533-position model. The record is from RNAcentral.